CGGGUGAGUAACGCGUGGAUAACCUGCCUUACACGUGGGGGAUAACACUUAGAAAUAGGUGCUAAUACCGCAUAAGCGCACAGAGCCGCAUGGCUCAGUGUAGAAAAACUUCGGUGGUGUAAGAUGGAUCCGCGUCUGAUUAGCUGGUUGGCGGGGUAGAAGCCCACCAAGGCGACGAUCAGUAGCCGGCCUGAGAGGGUGAACGGCCACAUUGGGACUGAGACACGGCCCAAACUCCUACGGAAGGCAGCAG
RNAcentral lists this ribosomal RNA (253 nucleotides) under uncultured bacterium. RNAcentral describes it as "partial 16S ribosomal RNA". It matches the Rfam family "Bacterial small subunit ribosomal RNA", at positions 103 to 354 of the family's 1533-position model. The record is from RNAcentral.